This 78-nucleotide transfer RNA is filed under the name Pyrolobus fumarii 1A. RNAcentral describes it as "tRNA-Cys (GCA) (tRNA-Cys-GCA-1-1)". It matches the Rfam family "tRNA". Rfam says of the family: Transfer RNA (tRNA) molecules are approximately 80 nucleotides in length. Their secondary structure includes four short double-helical elements and three loops (D, anti-codon, and T loops). The record is from RNAcentral. Lineage: Archaea; Thermoproteati; Thermoproteota; Thermoprotei; Desulfurococcales; Pyrodictiaceae.
GCCGGGGUGCCCGAGCGGUCGAAGGGGCGGGGCUGCAGACCCCGUUAAUCCCGGGUUCGAAUCCCGGCCCCGGCUCCA